UGGGGAAUUUUGGACAAUGGGGGAAACCCUGAUCCAGCCAUCCCGCGUGUGCGAUGAAGGCCUUCGGGUUGUAAAGCACUUUUGGCAGGAAAGAAACGUCAUGGGUUAAUACCCCGUGAAACUGACGGUACCUGCAGAAUAAGCACCGGCUAACUACGUGCCAGCAGCCGCGGUAAUACGUAGGGUGCAAGCGUUAAUCGGAAUUACUGGGCGUAAAGCGUGCGCAGGCGGUUCGGAAAGAAAGAUGUGAAAUCCCAGAGCUCAACUUUGGAACUGCAUUUUUAACUACCGGGCUAGAGUGUGUCAGAGGGAGGUGGAAUCCCGCGUGUAGCAGUGAAAUGCGUAGAUAUGCGGAGGAACACCGAUGGCGAAGGCAGCCUCCUGGGAUAACACUGACGCCCAUGCACGAAAGCGUGGGGAGCAAACAGG
This 429-nucleotide ribosomal RNA is filed under the name Acidobacteriota bacterium. RNAcentral's name for it is "Acidobacteria bacterium partial 16S ribosomal RNA". It matches the Rfam family "Bacterial small subunit ribosomal RNA", at positions 355 to 776 of the family's 1533-position model. Lineage: Bacteria; Pseudomonadati; Acidobacteriota. The record is from RNAcentral.